AAGAAGAAGGAGAGAAUUUUUCUCUCUCUCCUUUCUCUCUCUUUUCUCUCUCCUCUCUCUACCUUCUCUCUCUAUAUUUUCUCUCUCUAGAUUCUCUCUCUAGACUUUUUUCUCUCUUUACGGAUUUUGUCUCUCUGGGAUCUUUUCUUAUUCUCUGAUUGCAUCAUGAACCCUAGAAUAAACUUGAAGAUGAAAAUAAGAUGAUCUGAGGUUGCUCCAAAAUUCGUACGGUAGAUCUGAUCCCAGUUCGAUCCUAUUCAAAAUU
RNAcentral lists this long non-coding RNA (265 nucleotides) under Elaeis guineensis (African oil palm). RNAcentral describes it as "long non-coding RNA (EGUI_LNC011249)". The record is from RNAcentral. Lineage: Eukaryota; Viridiplantae; Streptophyta; Magnoliopsida; Arecales; Arecaceae.